ACUCCUACGGGAGGCAGCAGUAGGGAAUCUUCCACAAUGGGCGCAAGCCUGAUGGAGCAACACCGCGUGAGUGAAGAAGGGUUUCGGCUCGUAAAGCUCUGUUGUUAAAGAAGAACACGUAUGAGAGUAACUGUUCAUACGUUGACGGUAUUUAACCAGAAAGUCACGGCUAACUACGUGCCAGCAGCCGCGGUAAUACGUAGGUGGCAAGCGUUAUCCGGAUUUAUUGGGCGUAAAGAGAGUGCAGGCGGUUUUCUAAGUCUGAUGUGAAAGCCUUCGGCUUAACCGGAGAAGUGCAUCGGAAACUGGAUAACUUAGAGUGCAGAAGAGGGUAGUGGAACUCCACUGUGUAGCGGUGGAAGUGCGUAGAUAUAUGGAAG
This 380-nucleotide ribosomal RNA is filed under the name uncultured bacterium. RNAcentral describes it as "bacterial SSU rRNA". It matches the Rfam family "Bacterial small subunit ribosomal RNA", at positions 335 to 704 of the family's 1533-position model. The record is from RNAcentral.